RNAcentral lists this ribosomal RNA (487 nucleotides) under Staphylococcus aureus. Its description in RNAcentral is "partial 23S ribosomal RNA". It matches the Rfam family "Bacterial large subunit ribosomal RNA", at positions 1 to 481 of the family's 2925-position model. Lineage: Bacteria; Bacillati; Bacillota; Bacilli; Caryophanales; Staphylococcaceae. The record is from RNAcentral.
GAUUAAGUUAUUAAGGGCGCACGGUGGAUGCCUUGGCACUAGAAGCCGAUGAAGGACGUUACUAACAACGAUAUGCUUUGGGGAGCUGUAAGUAAGCUUUGAUCCAGAGAUUUCCGAAUGGGGAAACCCAGCAUGAGUUAUGUCAUGUUAUCGAUAUGUGAAUACAUAGCAUAUCAGAAGGCACACCCGGAGAACUGAAACAUCUUAGUACCCGGAGGAAGAGAAAGAAAAUUCGAUUCCCUUAGUAGCGGCGAGCGAAACGGGAAGAGCCCAAACCAACAAGCUUGCUUGUUGGGGUUGUAGGACACUCUAUACGGAGUUACAAAGGACGACAUUAGACGAAUCAUCUGGAAAGAUGAAUCAAAGAAGGUAAUAAUCCUGUAGUCGAAAAUGUUGUCUCUCUUGAGUGGAUCCUGAGUACGACGGAGCACGUGAAAUUCCGUCGGAAUCUGGGAGGACCAUCUCCUAAGGCUAAAUACUCUCUAGU